UAAACACAGCAAGCCAAACGUCACCGCUCACAUGCAGUGGCGCAAUUAAUUUCCCAAAUGCUGGGUAUUUUCUUAACUCAGUGUUGGGUCAAUAAUCCCGCCGCACCUCGUGGGGAUUUGAGGUGACUUAUUUUUCAAUGGACUGAACAGGCAGAGGGACAAGACGUCGUCACCAAAAACAGAGAUUCAAUGGAUAUUUUGGUGGAGGAAACACUCAAAGAUUGGAAUAUGGAGUCUCGCAUCACUAAAUUUGAAGAUAUGAAAUGUGACUUGCCCUGAUAGUGCUGCCUCUACUUCAACUGGGAUUUUCCCACACAACAAUCUCUAGGGAUUACACAGAAUGGUCAGAAAAAGAGAAAAUAUCCAGUAUGCAGAAGAGCAUCUCUGAAGGCACAACAUACCGAGCCUUGAAGCAGAUGGGCAACAGCAGCAGAAGACCACAAGAAAAAGAAAGUCGUAUACAAUGUACUUCUGUUCAAUUGCUAGCUUUUAGUUGGAAAUUCCUACUUUUAUUUCUGAUUGCUUAGGAAUUGCUAUUAUUCAAGCUGUGAAAUGGCAAGAGAUAAUGUUGUUGUGCGUCUGUGUCUGUGUGUGUGUGUCUGUGUGUGGUCAUGUUCCAAUGUUAGUAACUAUUGAAGCCUCAGGUUGACCUUGCAUACAAUUAUCCAUACAUUUAUUUAGAAAUUACUCAUUGUUUUUUUAAGGGAUAGGGAAGGGAUGUGGAUGUUUUACAUUUAGUUGUGAUUGUGUG
Long non-coding RNA from Esox lucius (northern pike), 751 nucleotides. The record is from Ensembl. NCBI's taxonomy places the organism in Eukaryota, Metazoa, Chordata, Actinopteri, Esociformes, Esocidae.